This is a long non-coding RNA of Oncorhynchus tshawytscha (Chinook salmon), 512 nucleotides long. RefSeq lists it as uncharacterized. NCBI's taxonomy places the organism in Eukaryota, Metazoa, Chordata, Actinopteri, Salmoniformes, Salmonidae. The transcript has 3 exons. The record is from RefSeq and is a predicted model, not a curated record.
AGCCCCCCGGGGGGGGGACUGUCUGAAUGAGGAGGAUCGGAAGUAGCCUCUGGACUGGAACUUUUAACAAAUUUCAGUUUGAAUCUCAGGAGACUAACGUUGUGGUGAUUGAGCUCUUUAGGAGAGGUGAAGACCCAGGGGGAAAUAGUUCUCUUUAGGAGAGGUGAAGACCCGUGGGGAAAUGGUUCUCUUUUGGAGAGGUGAAGACCCGUGGGGAAAUGGUUCUCUUUAGGAGAGGUGAAGACCCAGGGGGAAAUGGUUCUCUUUAGGAGAGGUGAAGACCCAGGGGGAAAUGGUUCUCUUUAGGAGAGGUGAAGACCCAGGGGGAAAUGGUUCUCUUUAGGAGAGGUGAAGACCCAGGGGGAAAUAGUUCUCUUUAGGAGAGGUGAAGACCCAGGGGGAAAUGGUUCUCUUUAGGAGAGGUGAAGACCCAGGGGGAAAUGGUUCUCUUUAGGAGAGGUGAAGACCCAGGGGGAAAUGGUUCUCUUUAGGAGAGGUGAAGACCCAGGGGG